UCCCUCUUAGCUCAGCUGGUAGAGCGCGUCACUAGUAUAAUGAGACGAUAAAGUGUUCACUAAUGACGAGGUCAGUCGUUCAAGUCGGCUAGAGGGAA
This is a non-coding RNA of Marasmius sp. AFHP31, 98 nucleotides long. Lineage: Eukaryota; Fungi; Basidiomycota; Agaricomycetes; Agaricales; Marasmiaceae. The record is from the annotation of a GenBank genome assembly.